AAUUUGCAUAAACAUAUCACCAAAAUAGUAUGUUCAUAAGGACAUUCUUCAUAUUUCUACAGUACGCCAGAGAAGCAGCACAGCCAGGCCACAGCCAACACUGCCAAGAGAUGCAGAUGGUGGCAAUGCCGGUUCUUCUUCGGCAAAUCCACCUACACUAAGGCGCCCAUCACAGGGCUCGGUUACUGUGGCAACGAGGCCACCCAAGAGACGCCGUCUUGAGGCUCCAGCUCCAGCACCAGCAUCACCACCCCAAUGGCGCAUCUCCGCAGUGUCGGCCGUGCCACCACUAGCUCUUUUGGCCAGCCCCCAAAGUGAGGAUCCACAAUCCCCUCAGUUGUCUGACCCAGCCAUCAUCACCGAGGAUGACCAGCAGGAACGUGACCAGGAGACCUUCACACUCCACCUGCAGCCCAUCGAUCCUACUCAGCCAACCACGCCGCAGGACAUACCCCAACCACCCCAAACAUCCCACAGCCCCCAAUUGAGCACAACACAAG
This is a long non-coding RNA of Pseudophryne corroboree (corroboree frog), 500 nucleotides long. RefSeq lists it as uncharacterized. The record is from RefSeq and is a predicted model, not a curated record. The transcript is spliced from 3 exons. NCBI's taxonomy places the organism in Eukaryota, Metazoa, Chordata, Amphibia, Anura, Myobatrachidae.